Molecule: unclassified non-coding RNA, 370 nt
Filed under: uncultured fungus
Lineage: Eukaryota; Fungi
Description: sequence contains ITS1
Rfam family: 5.8S ribosomal RNA (bases 1-104)
Source: RNAcentral
GAAAUGCGAUACUUGGUGUGAAUUGCAGAAUCCCGUGAUCCAUCGAAUUUUCGAACGCAUUAGCAUCGUAGGCGCAAGUCUUCGAUGGGUAAGAAUCAGCGCAGGAAUAUCUUAUUAAACUCCACAGUUUCCCCCCCUUAGGGGGAGGAUUUUGUGAUUGAUGGCCCUGGUUUUGAGAGAUUGCUUAUGAUCUGACGUGCUUCUUCCCUGCCGAUAGGCGGUGUUGCACUAAAAGAAUACCUGCAAACUCAUUAUAACAAAGCACUCGGCUUAAAUAUUGUACAUGAUAUGAUAGGGUAACUUAUCUAUCAAACACGUACACAUAAGCUAACUCCCGCCUGAUUUUUGCCAGACUACCCGCUGAAUUUAA